AUACGGAGGGUGCAAGCGUUAAUCGGAAUUACUGGGCGUAAAGCGCUCGUAGGCGGUUUGUUAAGUCGGAUGUGAAAGCCCCGGGCUCAACCUGGGAACUGCAUUCGAUACUGGCAAACUAGAGUAUAGUAGAGGCAAGUGGAAUUCCGGGUGUAGCGGUGAAAUGCGUAGAUAUCUGGAGGAACAUCAGUGGCGAAGGCGACUUGCUGGACUAAUACUGACGCUGAGGAGCGAAAGCGUGGGGAGCAAACGGGAUUAGAAACCCCGGUAGUCC
RNAcentral lists this ribosomal RNA (274 nucleotides) under uncultured bacterium. RNAcentral describes it as "partial 16S ribosomal RNA". It matches the Rfam family "Bacterial small subunit ribosomal RNA", at positions 523 to 796 of the family's 1533-position model. The record is from RNAcentral.